UGAGGGCGGCGGUUGCUGGAGUUCAGCUUUGGGGAGGAGGACGCUGAGGAGGCGCAGAGCCGCGGAGCGCUGCGGGGGAGGCGCCCGCGCAGACGCGAGGCCCAUGGCCAGGACCACCACCUAGCUGGAACCGCCCUGGGCCUCCACCUGGAAUGGGGUCUCUGGCGCCUCCACCUGCGAGGGAAGCAGAAGGUGCAAGUUCUUGCUCAAAGCAUCUGAUGCUCCUGGGCUCCCUUUUCCAGAUUCUUGAUGACAUUGGUCGGAAAAACUCGCCUUUCACGGCCCGGCCAAGGGGCAUUUGGGUGCUUUUCCUGCCCGUGGCUGUGCUCAGCGUUGUGGGAAGCCCCUGGGAGGCCGAAUGUGCAGGAUCACCGAGGGGAAAGUGAGCUUGACAGGAUGCGACUUUUAUUUAUUUCUUUAUUUUUUUGAUGGAGUCUCCAGCGAAGGCUGGAGUGCAGUGACGCGAUCUCGACCCAGGAACCUCCACCUCCUGGGUUCAAGAGAUUCUCCUUCCUCAACUGUAGGGACCAGCCCCACAGGGUCGGUGGGUCUCUCCCCGUGUGCGGCGACGAGAGAGUGUAGAAAUAAAGACACAAGACAAAGAGAUAAAAGAAAAGACAGCUGAGGGCCUGGGGGACCACUACCACCAAUGCGCGGACAAGACCGGUAGUGGCCCCGAAUAUCUGGCUUCGCUGUUACUUAUUGUAUACAAAGCAAAAGGGGCAGGGUAAAGAAUGUGAGUCUUCUCCAAUGAUAGGUAAGGUCACGUGUCCACUGGACAGGGGGCCCUUCCCUGCCUGGCAGCCAAGGCAGAGAGAGAGAGAAGACAAAGAGAAAGCCAGCUUACGCCAUUAUUUCUACAUAUCAGAGACUUUUAGUACUUUCACUAAUUUACUACUGCUAUCUAGAAGGCAGAGCCAGGUGUACAGGAUGGAACAUGAAGGUGGACUAAGAGUGUGACCACUGAAGCACAGCAUCACAGGGAGACGGUUAGGCCUCCGGAUAACUGCGGGAAAGCCUGACUGGUGUCAGGCCCUCCACGAGAGAUGGAGGAGCAGGGUCUUCUUUAAACUCCCCCGGGGAAAAGGUGACUCCCUUUCCCGGUCUGCUAAGUAGCGGGUGUUGUUGCUUGACACCUUUUGCUACCGCUAGACCAUGGUCCGCCUGGCAAUGGGCAUCUUCCCAGAUGCUGGCGUCACCGCUAGACCAAGGAGCCCUCUGGUGGCCCUGUCCAGGCAUAACAGAAGGCUCUCACUCCUGUCUUCUGGUCACACCUCAGUAUGUCCCCUCAGCUCCUGUCUCUGUAUGGCCUGGUUUUUCCUAGGUUAUGAUUAUAGAGCAGGGAUUAUUAUAAUAUUGGGAUAAAGAGUAAUUACUACCAACUAAUGAUUAAUGAUAUAUAUAAUUAUAUCUAAGAUCUAUAUCUGGUAUGACUAUUCUUGUUUUAUAUUUUAUUAUACUGGAACAGCUCAUGUUUCUGGUCUCUUUCCUCGGCACCUGGGUGGCUUGCCGGCCACACUCAACCACCCGAGUAGCUGGGAUUACAGGUGUGUGCCACCAUGCCCGGCUAAUUUUUAUAUUUUUAGUAGAGACCGUCGAAGGUAUGGGCCCUCUUCUGAGAAAAAUGCAGGGUGACACUGAAUUUUGUAACUACAUCAGGAGGCUCUUGAACCUCCUGCAGCUCUCUGUUGGAGUUUGUAGAGAUGCGUGAUAAUCCGAACUGUUAAGGAAGAAGUUUCUGUUGAGGAAAAUGUUGGAGAGUUGAAAGGGAUGCCUUUCGCUAUUUCAGCAUGUGUGGCUGUACCCCAGAGUGCCCUGCUAACACGCAAAACCAUGAAUUAGGCGGCUUGGCGAGCUCAGCGGAGGCUGGGGCCGAGAGUCAUGUCGAAGUUUGUGAGGUUAACCUGCACCCAGUGACAGUCAUGGCGAAGUUUGUGAGGUUAACCUGCACCCAGUGACAGUCAUGGCGAAGUUUGUGAGGUUAACCUGCACCCAGUGACAGUCAUGGCGAAGUUUGUGAGGUUAACCCGCACCCAGUGACAGUCAUGGCGAAGUUUGUGAGGUUAACCUGCACCCAGUGACAGUCAUGGCGAAGUUUGUGAGGUUAACUCGCACCCAGUAACGCUGUUGCAAUGCAAGGUGUGUAUUUGGUGUCAUCCACGGGAAGAGGAAAGAGCAAAUUUUCUCAUGACCUUGGCAGUUCCACGUCAUGGACAUUUAAUAUCUGCAGUUUUCUUCGCAUAAGACGGCUUUUUUGCACAAAAACACUGGAAUCCGGCGAGCAAGAAUGAUAGAAUACAAGAUAGAUUUCCACAUGAGGAAGUCUCACGAACGAGGCUUUUGCAUCUCUGUCAGCUGGAUUCCCCCAUGUGUACGUGUGUGAGAACAUGCCAUGUUUCCUGUCCGUAAUGGUAGAGGCAGCCCUGAUACGGGAUUUUCACCUGAGGAUGGAUAGACCUUCAGGAUUCCAGUGGGUUUGCAUCUGGACUUCAGGGUGGCCCUGUCGGCCCUGUGUGAGAAGCCCCCUUCCCAGUGAACUUUCCCGCGUGUGUACGCGUGGACAGCCAACAGGGGGAAGAGUGCGAGCGUGAAGGCAGACAGUGGCCUGCCCCAGUCUGAUGCUAAGUGGGCCAGAGGCAGUGAAUACCAUUUCUUGAGCUGACUACUCAAGACAGGCGCUUCCCUAGGUACUUUCUUUUUUUUUUUUUUUUUUUUUUUGAGACGGAGUCUCGCUCUGUCACCCAGGCUGGAGUGCAGUGGCGCGAUCUCGGCUCACUGCAAGCUCCGCCUCCCGGGUUCACGCCAUUCUCCUGCCUCAGCCUCUCCGAGUAGCUGGGACUACAGGCGCCUGCCACCAUGCCCGGCUAGUUUUUUUGUAUUUUUAGUAGAGACGGGGUUUCACCGUGGUCUCCAUCUCCUGACCUCGUGAUCCGCCCGUCUCGGCCUCCCAAAGUGCUGGGAUUACAAGCGUGAGCCACCGCGCCCGGCCUUCCCUACGUACUUUCACACCUCAUUGCGAGGUAGGUGUUUUUCCCAUUUUACAGGUGCAGAAGCUGAGCUGCAGAGGCGUUAAGUACCUGCCUCAUAAGUGGUAGAGACCCUGCCCCUCACGUUCGGAGCCCCCGAGGGAGGGUCUGCCGGGCAGCUCAGCCCAGCACUCUGUAAGGAAAUCUUCAGUGCCACUGCCCAGGAUGUCUUCCCGUGGAUUGGGCCUGAAUGUCUUGACCAUGCCAUGUUGGAGGCAGGAGGGGUGUCUUCAUAUGGAAGAUUCAUGCCAUUCUCCUGCCUCAGCCUCCGGAGUAGCUGGGACUACAGGCGCCCGCCACCGCGCCUGGCUAAUUUUUUUUUUUUUUGUAUUUUUAGUGGAGACGGGGUUUCACCAUGGUCUUGAUCUCCUGACCUCGUGAUCCAACCGCCUCGGCCUCCCAAAGUGCUGGAAUUACAGGCGUGAGCCACCGCGCCCGGCCUAAUUAUAAUUUUUAAAAUCUUUUGUACAGAUGGGGUCUCGCUUUGUUGCCCAGGCUGGUCUUGGACUGGAUUAGAGUGAUCCUACCACCUGCUCCUCCCAAAGUGCUGGGAAUACAGGCGUGAGCUACAGCAACUUGGCUGGCAUUUCUUAAAAUACGAGACUAGUUGUCUCGUAUUUUAUAUAAAUACAGGAUUCACAAUCUG
Symphalangus syndactylus (siamang) is the source of this 3672-nucleotide long non-coding RNA. RefSeq lists it as uncharacterized. The record is from RefSeq and is a predicted model, not a curated record. Lineage: Eukaryota; Metazoa; Chordata; Mammalia; Primates; Hylobatidae.